Non-coding RNA from Aegilops tauschii subsp. strangulata, 1394 nucleotides. The record is from RefSeq and is a predicted model, not a curated record. Lineage: Eukaryota; Viridiplantae; Streptophyta; Magnoliopsida; Poales; Poaceae.
GGAAGAGCCACGAAAGAGGUAGUUAUCGAGGAGUUUUUGCAUGUCAUUUGUUUUCGAGUCGCGUUUGGUCGGUUUUAGGGCAAAUUCUGUACAACAUGUCAUAUAUGGGUACCUAACUUUGGAAAAAUUCUAUGAAUGGCAUUUUUAAGCAAGGAUUGGGUAGCAAAAAGUUAUUUUGGAAGAGCCACGAAUGAGGUAGUUAUCGAGUCACGUCUGGUCGAUUUUAGGGCAAAUUCUGUACAAGAUGUCAUAUAUGGGUACCUAACUUGGAAAAAUUCUAUGACCGGCUUUUUAAGCAUGGAUUGGGUAGCCAAAAGUUAUUUUGGACGAGCCAUGAAAGAGAUAGUUAUGAAGGAGUGUUUGCGUAUCCUUUGUUUAGAUUCGCGUUUGGUCAGUUUUAGGGCAAAUUUUGUACAACAUGUCAUAUAUGGGUACCUAACUUGGAAACAUUCGGUGAACGACAUUUUAUAAGGAUGGAUUGGGUAGCAAAAAUUUAUGUUGGACGAGCCACGAAAGAGGUAGUUACCAAGGAGUUUUUUCAUGUUCUUUGUUUUUGAGUCGCGUUUGUUCGGUUUUAGGGCAAAUUCUGUACAAGAUGUAAUAUAUGGGUACCUAACUUGGAACAAUUAUGUGAACGACAUUUUUAAGCAUGGAUUGGGUUAUAAAAAGUUAUGUUGGACAAGCCACGAAAGAGUUAGUUAUCGAGGAGUUUUUACGUGUCCUUUGUUUGGAUUGGGUAGCAAUAAGUUAUUUUGGGCAAGCCACCAAAGAGGUAAUUAUUGAGGAGUUUCUGCAUGUCGCGUUUGGUUGGUUUUAGGGAAAAUUUUGUAACAGAUGUCAUAUAUGGUACCUACCUUGGAAAUUUUCUGCGAACGGCAUUCUUUUAAGCAUGGACUUGGUAGCUAAAUUUAUUUUGGACGAGCCACAAAAGAGGUAGUUAUCGAGGAGUUUCUGCGUGUCCUUUGUUUUCGAGUCGCGUUUGGUCGGUAUUAGGGCAAAUUCUAUAACAGAUGCCAUAUAUGGUACCUAACUUGGAAAAUUUCUGUGAACGGCGUUUUUUAAGCAUGGAUUGGACAGCAAAAAGUUAUUUUGGACGAGCAACGAAAGAGGUAUUUAUCGAGGAGUUUUUUCGUGUCCUUUGUUUUCGAGUUGCGUUUGGUCGGUUUUAGGGUAAAUUAUGUACAAGAGGUCAUCUAUGGUUACCUAACUUGGAAAAUUUCUAUGAACAGAGUUAUUUAUGAAUGGAUUGGGUAGCUAAAAGUUAUUUUGGACGAGCCAAGAAAGAGGUAGUUAUAGAGGAGGUUUUGCGUGUCCUUUGUUUUCGAGUCGCGUAUGGUUUGUUCAAGGGCAAAUUCUGUACAAGAUGUCAUAUGUGGGUACCUAACUUAGAAAAA